AGCGAACGCUGGCGGCAGGCUUAACACAUGCAAGUCGAACGGGCGUAGCAAUACGUCAGUGGCAGACGGGUGAGUAACGCGUGGGAACGUACCUUUUGGUUCGGAACAACCCAGGGAAACUUGGGCUAAUACCGGAUAAGCCCUUACGGGGAAAGAUUUAUCGCCGAAAGAUCGGCCCGCGUCUGAUUAGCUAGUUGGUGAGGUAACGGCUCACCAAGGCGACGAUCAGUAGCUGGUCUGAGAGGANGAUCAGCCACAUUGGGACUGAGACACGGCCCAAACUCCUACGGGAGGCAGCAGUGGGGAAUAUUGGACAAUGGGCGCAAGCCUGAUCCAGCCAUGCCGCGUGAGUGAUGAAGGCCCUAGGGUUGUAAAGCUCUUUUGUGCGGGAAGAUAAUGACGGUACCGCAAGAAUAAGCCCCGGCUAACUUCGU
This 434-nucleotide ribosomal RNA is filed under the name uncultured bacterium. RNAcentral's name for it is "bacterial SSU rRNA". It matches the Rfam family "Bacterial small subunit ribosomal RNA", at positions 29 to 506 of the family's 1533-position model. The record is from RNAcentral.